This is a long non-coding RNA of Echinops telfairi (small Madagascar hedgehog), 1831 nucleotides long. RefSeq lists it as uncharacterized. NCBI's taxonomy places the organism in Eukaryota, Metazoa, Chordata, Mammalia, Afrosoricida, Tenrecidae. The transcript is spliced from 3 exons. The record is from RefSeq and is a predicted model, not a curated record.
GGACGGUUUGAUUCUAAAGGCGACAGAUCCGAUGGGCUCCCGAGGGGACCGUUCACCUCUGCAGGGUCCGACCUGAAAGACCUGAGGGGUUAAUGAUGUUCGGGGAUGUGGUCAUAGGCCUCUUUCUGGAGGAAUGGGAACGCCUGGACUCUGGUCAGAUGGAUUUGCACAGAGAAGCAAUGUAGGAGAAUGACAGCAAUCUGAUUUCAGCAGAACAAGGUUGACAGAAUCGAUGAGAGGCUUGUUGUGUUCAGGUAAGUGAGGGAUGGUGUGGCGGGAAGCAGGAUGCUUAGGAAGUACCACCUCUGAGAUAUUAUCCAGAAGCUACCCUUAAGGGUCCAAGACUUCUUCCAUAUGAGCUUUCUUGCUUUUUGCCCCCACUUACAGUUCAGCAUAGCAAGUGCCUUUUUUCUUCAUAUCGAAGGCAAUUAUUCUAUUCACAUAUUUUAUUUUAGAAGCCCACCAUUACCAAAUCCAACUUUUACACAUCAGUUGUUUUCAUUUUAAGUAGUCCAAAUACGCUUUUUUUUGGUUGUUGCCAUUUACAGCUUUCCCAUUUUGCCUGCAAAAUGUGCCCAAUAUCUACUAGCCACAGCUAAGAUAAACUGUAGUUGUGAAGACCCCAGGCCACUGCCGCCCUUCAGCACGCUCUGAGACACCCAGUUUGCUGCUGGGAGAUGUUGCCUCUAAACAUAAAGCCUCCCGCCCCUCACUCCUGAGUCCUCUUGUCCUCUUCCCCUGCCAGUGGCUCCUCUAUGCUGCUUGCUGGUGGAUGCUCUCUUGCUGCAUUGUCCCCAUAUUCCAUGCCUGGUAAUACACCUGAAGUAACAUCUUCGUCUUUAGCAGACCUAAAAUGCCUGAGGUACUUCUGACAGUUAACGCACUGCCUACUAUCCAACACCAAACUUUUGCCAUUGAGUCAGUGUGGACGCACAGUGACCCCUUUUGGACUUCUGAGACUGACUGUUUACAGGAGGAGAAAGAAAGCCAGGCUUUCUCCCAUGUUGCUGCUGAUGGUUUCAACCGCUCACCAUUUAGGUCACAGACCAAUGUGUAAACCCUACCCCACCAGGGCUCCCUGCGAGCUACUAUAGCAUAUAAUUAGACUGGAUAUAUGGUAGAGUAAAUUUUGUUCCAUUGAAAAUUUGUGUUUGCAUUUUUAUUCCCCACCCCCAAAUUACUGUUAUGAUUUAGAUUGAGGUUGAAAUGAAUCUGUAGAUCAGUUUGGGGAGAAUUAACAUUAUGAAAUAUUAAAUCAAAAACAUUUGACCUUAAAUUUAUGCAGAUAGUCUGCUAGGUGCUGCAUAGUUUAUAUAAGAUGUAGGCUUUUAAGCAAGUUAAUUGUCUUAAUGUAUGAUCUAAGACAUUUCUUUAAAAUCCACAAAGUAAAAUCUUCAAAAUAAAAUCUUGAGUCAAAAAUCAGAGGAAAAUUAUAAGAUGGUUAAAAACAUUCAAGUAGAAUUUGUUCAAGUAGAAGAAAUAGUUGGAGUGUUGAAAGUGGAUUUCAUUACCUAUAGAGAUCAUUUUGGAGACAGAAUAGCCAUUCCUUUAUUGGAUUUGAGAAGCAAUUUUGGAUUUGACAAAACUGCAUGAACCUAGGCAGGAGUUGGUGAAUUUUAUUAUUUCUUUCUCAUCAAUAGGUCUUAACUACCCUGAAAUCUAUAUUUUAUUGCUCUUUUGCUACUUUUCCUCCCUACCAUUUAGCUAAUUAACGUCCUGUUCGGUCUUCAUUUAACUUAAUACUUAGUUGUGCUCUGCUUACUAUACUAUUUUGAUUUUAAAAUUAUUUUUCUUUUAAUCAAGUUAGAAUUUGCCUAAGAAUAACAUCAUU